Molecule: long non-coding RNA, 299 nt
Filed under: Carica papaya (papaya)
Lineage: Eukaryota; Viridiplantae; Streptophyta; Magnoliopsida; Brassicales; Caricaceae
Description: long non-coding RNA (CPAP_LNC007930)
Source: RNAcentral
AAUACUCCUUAAAACAUUGAAAGUAAAACUAGAUUCUUUACCAAAACCUCAAUGAUUUCUUCUUCACCGUUUUCCUUUCUUUCUCUUCUUCUCUCACUAAUCUACUAUCUCUCUCUCUUUCUCCCUCUAAACCCUUGAAAAAUUGAAGAAAUGGAAGUGUGGAGAGGAAGGGAAGGGGGGCAAUUUAUUGAAAUUUGGCACCGUUAGAUUCGUGACAAGUGAAAAAAUAUGGUGAAGAGAGAAGAGAAAAAGAUUCUUUGCAUAAAAAACGAGGGAGGAGGACCUCCUCCAUCGGUGAC